Molecule: ribosomal RNA, 1375 nt
Filed under: uncultured bacterium
Lineage: Bacteria
Description: partial 16S ribosomal RNA
Rfam family: Bacterial small subunit ribosomal RNA
Source: RNAcentral
AGAGUUUGAUCCUGGCUCAGGACUAACGCUGGCGGCGUGCCUAAUACAUGCAAGUCGAACGGUCGUGCGUUUGUAGCAAUAUGGACGUACGAUAGUGGCGAACGGGUGAGUAACACGUGGAAAACCUACCCUCGAGCGGGGGAUAACUCCGGGAAACUGGGGCUAAUACCGCAUGACAUCCCAACCUGGCAUCGGGAGGGGAUCAAAGCCGAAAGGCACUUGAGGAUGGUUCCGCGGCCUAUCAGCUAGUUGGCGGGGUAACGGCCCACCAAGGCGACGACGGGUAGCCGGCCUGAGAGGGCGAUCGGCCACAAGGGGACUGAGACACGGCCCCUACUCCUACGGGAGGCAGCAGUAGGGAAUUUUGCUCAAUGGGGGAAACCCUGAAGCAGCGACGCCGCGUGGGCGACGAAAUCCUUCGGGAUGUAAAGCCCUUUUAACCGGGACGAAAUACAUGACGGUACCGGUGGAAUAAGCCUCGGCUAACUCCGUGCCAGCAGCCGCGGUAAGACGGGGGAGGCAAGCGUUGUCCGGAAUCACUGGGUGUAAAGGGCGUGUAGGCGGGCCGGCUAGUCGGUUGUUAAAUCUCUCCGCUCAACGGAGAAGCUGCGGCCGAUACUUCCGGUCUUGAGUGCGGCAGGGGAGGAUGGAAUUCCUGGUGUAGCGGUGAAAUGCGUAGAUAUCAGGAGGAACACCGGUGGCGAAGGCGGUCCUCUGGGCCUGCACUGACGCUGAGUGCGCGAAAGCUGGGGUAGCAAACAGAAUUAGAUACUCUGGUAGUCCCAGCCCUAAACGAUGGGUACUAGGUGUUCGCCCCUUCAAGGGGUGAGUGCCGCAGCUAACGCAUUAAGUACCCCACCUGGGGAGUACGAUCGCAAGGUUGAAACUCAAAGGAAUUGACGGGGACCCGCACAAGCGGUGGAGGAUGUGGUUUAAUUCGACGCAACGCGAAGAACCUUACCUGGUCUUGACAUGCUGGUGAAAUCCGUGGAAACACGGCCCUCCCGCAAGGGACGCCAGUACAGAUGGUGCAUGGCUGUCGUCAGCUCGUGUCGUGAGAUGUUGGGUUAAGUCCGGUAACGAGCGCAACCCUCACUGUAUGUUACAAGUGUCAUACGGAACUGCCGGUAUCAAGCCGGAGGAAGGUGGGGAUGACGUCAAGUCAGCAUGGCCUUUAUAUCCGGGGCUACACACACGCUACAAUGGCCAGUACAAUAGGUUUGCAAGACCGUAAGGUGGAGCCAAUCCUUAAAGCUGGUCUCAGUUCAGAUUGUAGGCUGCAACCCGCCUACAUGAAGUCGGAGUUGCUAGUAACCGCAGGCCAGCCAUACUGCGGUGAAUACGUUCUCGGGGAUUGCACUCACCGCCCGUCAAG